RNAcentral lists this ribosomal RNA (1329 nucleotides) under metagenome. Its description in RNAcentral is "bacterial LSU rRNA". It matches the Rfam family "Bacterial large subunit ribosomal RNA", at positions 1568 to 2925 of the family's 2925-position model. The record is from RNAcentral.
UAAACGAGUCGAAUGAGACGAAGUGUGUGAGGCUUGUGGCGAGAAAAGCUAUGUGGAUUGGUUGUACUGCCCGUACCGCAAACCGACACAGGUAGAUGAGGAGAAGAUCCUAAGGCCAUCGGGAGAAGGGUUGUUAAGGAACUAGGCAAAUUGACCCCGUAACUUCGGAAUAAGGGGUGCCUACGAAAGUAGGUCGCAGAGAAUCGGCCCAAGCAACUGUUUACCAAAAACACAGGUCUCUGCUAAAUCGAAAGAUGACGUAUAGGGGCUGACGCCUGCCCGGUGCUGGAAGGUUAAGAGGAGGACUUAGCGGAAACGCGAAGGUGCGAAUUUAAGCCCCAGUAAACGGCGGCCGUAACGAUAACGGUCCUAAGGUAGCGAAAUUCCUUGUCAGGUAAGUUCUGACCCGCACGAAAGGCGUAAUGAUUUGGGCACUGUCUCAACAGCCCGCCCGGCGAAAUUGUAGUACCGGUGAAGAUGCCGGUUACCCGCAACUAGACGGAAAGACCCCAUGGAGCUUUACUGCAGCUUAAUACUGAGAUUCGGUAAAUCAUGUACAGGAUAGGUGGGAGACUUGGAAGUCUGGUCGUCAGGCCAGAUGGAGUCGCCCUUUGAUACCACCCUUGGUUUGCUGGAUUUCUAACCUGCGGCCCUGAAUCGGGUCGGGGGACACUGUUAGGCGGGCAGUUUGACUGGGGCGGUCGCCUCCUAAAAUGUAACGGAGGCGCUCAAAGGUUGGCUCAGCAUGGAUGGAAACCAUGCAAUGAGUGUAAACGUAUAAGCCAGCCUGACUGCGAGACCGACGGGUCGAGCAGAGACGAAAGUCGGAGUUAGUGAUCCGGUGGUAUGUGAGUGGAAAUGCCAUCGCUCAACGGAUAAAAGCUACCCUGGGGAUAACAGGCUGAUCUCCCCCAAGCGUCCACAGCGACGGGGAGGUUUGGCACCUCGAUGUCGGCUCGUCGCAUCCUGGGGCUGAAUUAGGUCCCAAGGGUUUGGCUUUCGCCAAUUAAAGCGGCACGCGAGCUGGGUUCAGAACGUCGUGAGACAGUUCGGUCCCUAUCUGUUGCGGGCGUAGGAGAUUUGAAGGAGCUGUCCUUAGUACGAGAGGACCGGGAUGGACGCACCUCUGGUGUACCAGUUGUUCUGCCAAGGGCACGGCUGGGUAGCUACGUGCGGACGAGAUAAACGCUGAAGGCAUCUAAGCGUGAAACUCCCCCUAAGAUAAGAUCUCCACUGAGGCUCGACGUAGACUAUGUCGUUGAUAGGUCAGAGGUGUAAGUGCUGAGAGGCAUUGAGCUGACUGAUACUAAUAAGCCGAAAGCUUGUCAA